UACAGAGGUCCCAAGCGUUGUUCGGAUUCACUGGGCGUAAAGGGUGCGUAGGCGGUCGGGUAAGUCUGAUGUGAAAUCUCACAGCUUAACUGUGAAACUGCAUUGGAUACUAUCCGGCUCGAGGAAUGGAGGGGAGACUGGAAUACUUGGUGUAGCAGUGAAAUGCGUAGAUAUCAAGUGGAACACCAGUGGCGAAGGCGAGUCUCUGGACAUUUCCUGACGCUGAGGCACGAAAGCCAGGGGGAGCAAACGGG
Molecule: ribosomal RNA, 254 nt
Filed under: uncultured bacterium
Lineage: Bacteria
Description: partial 16S ribosomal RNA
Rfam family: Bacterial small subunit ribosomal RNA
Source: RNAcentral